UGGGUCCUACGGGAGGCAGCAGUGAGGAAUAUUGGUCAAUGGGCGAGAGCCUGAACCAGCCACGUCGCGUGAAGGAUGACGGCCCUAUGGGUUGUAAACUUCUUUUGUCAGGGAGCAAUUGGGUCCACGUGUGGGCUUAGCGAGAGUACCUGAAGAAAAAGCAUCGGCUAACUCCGUGCCAGCAGCCGCGGUAAUACGGAGGAUGCGAGCGUUAUCCGGAUUUAUCGGGUUUAAAGGGUGCGUAGGCGGAAUAUCAAGUCAGCGGUAAAAAUUCGGGGCGCAACCCCGU
This 289-nucleotide ribosomal RNA is filed under the name uncultured bacterium. Its description in RNAcentral is "partial 16S ribosomal RNA". It matches the Rfam family "Bacterial small subunit ribosomal RNA", at positions 333 to 618 of the family's 1533-position model. The record is from RNAcentral.